UACGUAGGGGGCGAGCGUUGUCCGGAGUUACUGGGCGUAAAGCGCACGCAGGCGGUCUGCUAAGUUUGGAGUGACAGUUGGUGGCUUAACUGCCAAAGUGCUUCGAAAACUGACAGACUUGAGGGCUUCAGAGGGACACGGAAUUCCGGGUGGAGUGGUGAAAUGCGUAGAGAUCCGGAGGAACACCAAAGGCGAAGGCGGGUCUCUGGGCCGAUACUGACGCUGAGGAGCGAAAGCGUGGGGAGCGAACAGG
This 253-nucleotide ribosomal RNA is filed under the name uncultured bacterium. RNAcentral's name for it is "partial 16S ribosomal RNA". It matches the Rfam family "Bacterial small subunit ribosomal RNA", at positions 524 to 776 of the family's 1533-position model. The record is from RNAcentral.